UUUCAAUUCUUCCAUGUUUCAGCAGUAGCAUAUUGUUCCAAGAAUUUUUCUUUUCCAUCAAUUCCAUAAAGUCGAGUAGAUGCAAUAUACGAAUUUCCCCCCCCCCUCGCUACAUUACAUUGAUUUAGCUGCUACGGUUAGAGCUGAUUCUAGCACAAUCGAUUCUACUCUCACAGGUAACUAUAUUCGCAUAUAUCAAAUAAUAACAUAAUAAUAAGCUAAAGGUAUAUUCAGAUGAGACUAUAUUAGGAUAUCAUCAAUUAUUUAGCUUUUUAUAUUAUAAGCAUUCUAGUUUCUUUUUUGUUCUCGUGAUUCUGUUGGCAGUUAUAAGUAUUAUGCCAACUACUAGAUCAGAAAGUAAAUUACUAUAUGUACCCUCAUUAAUUUAAACAAUUGUUAUGCUUUAGCUGAGUUAUUAUAUAUUUAAGACAUUUAUUUGGCUUUCUGGAACAACGGUGUGGGAUUUUUCAAGUACUAGAGUUUGCUGUGAAUAGUCACUUAUAGAAGCCCAUAUAAAAGAUUUUUCAGUUUUCUGUUUCAGAAUAUUUUUAAUCCUCCAUGUCUACAUGAAAGCUGAGAAGUCUAAUGUGUUUCAAGAAGAUAGAAAUGCAGUCAAUGUGAGAGGACUACAACCUCUUGACAACAGUUGAUGUUUUUGCUUUAGCUAAUACAUAGAUAUCUUCAUAUGUUUAACUGAAUGCUUCAAACCACUGAAUAAACUAUACCAGCAUGUCCAAUUGAACCAGAAGAUUUGCUGCCAAUAGUCGAUAUUCAAGUUCAGCUUGUUGGAUACAGGCCAUUAACGUGUGCAUAAUGUUGAUACUUCCGUGCUGUCGUAUCUGAUGGAGCAAAUGAAUGGCUGAUGACCUGGAACAUCAGGAUGCUAGCACUCAGCAAGUUCAUUAAUGGAUGCAAACGGGCCAACUGAGAACUUUACACUGUUUGGGUUGAGUAAUAGGGCUGGCCGUUGAAAGUUUUGGCAAUCCAUAUCCCAGAACCAUCCUAUUUGCAUAUCUACCUUUAUAUGAAGGCAACUUUACACAAAGGAAUGACUGCUGAGAAUGCUAGAAGAUCAGCUGGCAGGACGAAUUUUAUCUUAUAAGCCUUGUGGUUUAAGAUCAAGCAACCUUGGAGCCUACAAAACCUACCCUAUUAGCCGGGCAGUUGAGGUAGGUACUUGUUCAAGGGAGUUAAAACAUUUCCUGCCGGCAAAAUUUGUGUACCUGUUUCAAGAACAGUGAUCAAGGAUAAGAACCAGGAGUCAUAAGCUUCUCUAAAAUCUCAUUCCACCAUUUUCAGUGACCAGAUAUUCUGCUUGCAAGAUGUUAUCAGAGGCAACUCAAGCUGAACUGAGAAAAACAUACAUUGUCAAUAUCAGAUUUCAUGCUUUCAGUCUUCAGUUCAUGAUCGUAAAUUUUUUUCAAGAGGUUUCUAUGUAGCAAUCAAAUUCUAGGAUCUUCUGCACUAUAUAACACCAAUAGUAGAGGAAAUUAUGCAAGUAUGGUUAUGCAUGGGAUGGAUCAACUGUUGAAUCUACUCAUGAGGUACAUAUAGUACAUGUGCCUGCUGGGUGCCAGUACUGCAAGAAUAUCUUGAGUUGUGGCACUUGUGGAAUUUGCUGCCAUGAGAAUUUUAGUGCAGCUACAAGUUUUAACAAUGUGGCAGCAUUCGAGAAAGUUCAGAAAAGAAAGGGAACUUUUAAGGGGAAAACUUUUCUUCUUUAAACAACUUAUCCUCAAGAAACUCGAAGCUGAAAAGUGGGUAUGGACAUGCCCACGGUGCCAUGUUAUGUCAGUAGGAAUCAUCACUUACCAUUUUAAAUCCUACCAUUAUAAUGACAUAUGUGAGAUUUAUCUACGUUUAAGCACAAGCCGAUACCUGAAAACCAGAUUACAGGUUUCAGUCUAUGGAAUGUUAUAGUAAGUUGAAUGACUCACUGUUGGUU
Non-coding RNA from Elaeis guineensis (African oil palm), 1945 nucleotides. The record is from RefSeq and is a predicted model, not a curated record. Lineage: Eukaryota; Viridiplantae; Streptophyta; Magnoliopsida; Arecales; Arecaceae.